UUAAUAACUUAGUGUAAAGAUAUAGAAGGGAUUCGGAAAUUCAAAUAGUUCACUUUGUUCAACACACAACAGUUAUACACAUAUGUUAUACUCUGAAGACCUCGUAAACCUACUCGCACGCUCGCUUGUUGUCAACCGACUCUUCCAGAUGCUUCUUAACGACGGCUACAAGAGCUGCUUCAGGAGCUGCGGAUUUUAAUGCUAAAGUCUGGGAUGCAAUUAAAGGAGAAGAAAUUCAUUCGUUUCAACACAAACAUAUUGUAAAGUCUGUCAACUUCAGCAUUGAUUCUAAUUAUUUGUGCACAAGUUCUAAUGAGAAACUUGUGCGAAUUUAUGAUCUUAACAAACCAGAUGCAGCACCACAGGUAUUCUCGGGUCAUAAAAUUGGCAUCAGGCAUGUUACGUUUUUCAAUAAUGAUACUGCAUUAAUUACCUGUGGCGAUGACAAAACAUUGAGAGUUUGGGACAGAAAGAGUGGUCAAGAAGUAAGAAGGUUAGAUUUUCCAGCAAUUCCAAAUUCUAUGGAAGUGUCAAGAGAUGGGAACAUUAUUACCACAACUCACUCCAACAUAGUCACUUUUUGGAAUAGCAGAGAGUAUGUCCAUUUCUUUCUGUUUUACCAUAACGCGUACAGCAUAUCUUAAAAUAUAAAAUAAAUGAAGUCAGCAAAACAAGUUCAAGGGGAGGGAUACCCCAGUACCGGCGCAGACGUGGGUGGACAAGCGGGCUCCGCUGUGUCGUUAGCUUGUGACCGUGGCCGGAUGGGGGUGGACCACCAGGCCCCCAUUCAUGUUAUCACGACUAGUGAGGAGGAAGAAGGAGACAUUGAAAUGGAAGAGGCUCCGAUAGAAAUACAGCGAGGUGCCGGGUAUUCAACCGCCUUGCUUGGAACGUAUAUAUAAUCAACAAAUAAAGGACGCGAAAUACAGCACACUCUUCUCUUAAUACUGAACAUUUUACUAAUGAAUUAUAAAUAGCCUAUAUGCAAGUAUUAUUUACAUAUUUAAUUCGCCACAAACUGCAUACAAUUAUAUGUAAUCACAUAUAAUUAUAUAUAAUCACAUAUAAAAUAAAUACAAUUGUUUGAUGAGAUAAGCUACAAAUACCACUUCCCAGUGACAAUUAAUCUAGAACUUAUAUUUGUCACCAAAAAUUAUGAACAUUAUAAUGUAAUGUGCGCUUUCCCUUUAAUUAAAAUUAUAAUACUAUAAUAACAGAUAGACUGCACUGUUGCUCGUUGCAAAAUGAACAUCUUAAAAUAUCAACCCUGUUUCUACAUACAACUCACUAAUAUCUAUGUACAACUAUUAUGAUACACUUUAUACAUUUCUCAAGUAUGAAUUACCACUACGUUCACGAGUGCUUAGAGGAAAACAAGAUAAAUAUAAUUAAAGUAAGUACAGGCGAAAAUACUGCGGAUAUUUUUACGAAGGCACUGUGUAGAGAGAAAUUUGAAAGGUUUAGGUCAUGGAUGAAUGUAAACUAAGAGGAAUGUAAAUAAAGUAAUAAGGUUUAAAGGUUCUAUUAAGUAAUUCGACAAAUCAUGUAAAUCCGAUAAGCAG
Molecule: long non-coding RNA, 1562 nt
Organism: Bombus pascuorum
Lineage: Eukaryota; Metazoa; Arthropoda; Insecta; Hymenoptera; Apidae
Exons: 4
Source: RefSeq, a predicted model, not a curated record